ACAGUACUCCGAUAGCAGCCCAACUCUGGUGAUUCCCUUCCUAGCUCCGGUCAUUAAUGUCAGCCCUAAUUUUGCUUUAAAUCUUGCUCUGAUUCUAGAUCAUAUCUUCAAAACAAGCUCUGCUUGUAGUAGUGCCUCCUUCUACAAUAACUAAUGUCAAGACCAGAAAACCCAGAAGGAAUAGGCGAUGAAGUGACUAAAUCAGGAAAAUUUGGAUCGUCAGAGCAACUCUGCCAUCGCUAUCACAGUCCAUUUUUCUCCUCCUCCUCCUCUAGAUCUACGGUUUUUUUAAAGGAAGAUGAUCAGGAUGAGGAUGAAAAGAAGAAGAAGAAAAAUAAAAAGAAG
Non-coding RNA from Camellia sinensis, 345 nucleotides. NCBI's taxonomy places the organism in Eukaryota, Viridiplantae, Streptophyta, Magnoliopsida, Ericales, Theaceae. The record is from RefSeq and is a predicted model, not a curated record.